Molecule: long non-coding RNA, 1210 nt
Organism: Eleginops maclovinus (Patagonian blennie)
Lineage: Eukaryota; Metazoa; Chordata; Actinopteri; Perciformes; Eleginopidae
Exons: 3
Source: RefSeq, a predicted model, not a curated record
CAUGGACAAACUCUUCACGACUUGGAGUUCGCGGCGAGCGAUCAUGGCGACCGACUCUCCUCACUCGAUUCCACCGUCAGUGCGCUCAAAGCCCAAGUGAAAACACUGACGGACAAAUGUAAGGAUUUGUAGGGGAGAUCGAGGAGGAACAACCUACGACUGGUGGGAAUACCCGAGGGCUCUGAAGGACAGCGUCGGACAGAAUUCAUCGGCGGCUUAUUGAAAGACGUGCUGAAGCUAGAUGAAGUCCCGCUACUCGACAGAGCCCAUCGCACCCUGCCUGCCAAACCUAAGACGGGAGAGCCGCCCCGACCGGUUGUCAUCAGGGUCCACUUUUUCCAUAUCCGGAACGAGAUUCUACGACGGGCCAGCGAAACAUCCCGCGGCUCCCCUCUGCCUUUUCAGGGCAAGAAACUGUCAAUUUCCCCCGACUAUACCGUCGCUGUUGCCAAGAGGAGAGCUGCGUUUGGACAUUCCUGUGAUCGACUCUGACUCAGCUGAGAAGCUAGAGGAGCCUAUAACUGUGGAAGAGCUUCAGAGGGCUGCUCACGCUAUGCAGAUACCCCCAUUGACUCCUUUUUGAAGCCUGUUGAUUUCUUCACUACGCCCUAACUCUCAACAAAACACUAAGCACCGAUGGGAGGAGGACCUGGGUGAGGAGAUUACCGAGGAGCUAUGGGAUGUAAUUCUACGCCGGGUUCAUUCCUUGUCAAUUUGUUCCAGACAUGGGCUGAUGCAAUGUAAAAUGGUUCAUCGCACACAUUUAACCAAAGUUAGACUUUCCAAGAUUUAUGGUAACAUUGACCCCACCUGUGAAAGAUGCCAUCAGGCGUCUUAUUUUUUAUUCUAUUUUUUUUCUUCCCUUUUUGGACAUGGUGACUUGGGUGCAUUUCUUUGAGUUGUUUGAUCACUGCACUUUCAGUUUUUAUUAUUAUAUAUUUUUUUUUCUUAUUCUCUGUGGGCAAGACUUUAUAAUAGUGUUUGAUAAUGUUUAUGGUCUUUGUAUUUGUGUUUGAUGGGUUAGGCGACCAAGCAAGCUAUCUAUUUUCUUCUUUUGUUUGUUUGUUUUGUUGUUUUGUUGUUUCAGUGUGUGUCUCUCUAUGCUAUGUAUAAAUGUAAAUGUAUGCUUUGAUAUGACAUUUUGUACGCUUAUGUCUGAAACUUCAAUUAAAAAAGUUUUGAAAAAAAAUAAAGAAAACAGAAUCGGAUA